AUUCGGGUUGAUAACUAGGCGGCGGUUUCAGUUUGCUCAACAGCCUUUGCCCUUUAAGUACCCGAGAAAUCAAGAUCUCGGCGGUCGAUCUUACACAUUUGCUUUCUUUCUUCGUGUUGGUUAUAUGUUUAUUCGAUCGCAACAUAC
This 147-nucleotide small nucleolar RNA is filed under the name Exophiala oligosperma. The record is from RNAcentral. Lineage: Eukaryota; Fungi; Ascomycota; Eurotiomycetes; Chaetothyriales; Herpotrichiellaceae. RNAcentral also lists the same sequence under 1 other name.